CCUACGGGAGGCAGCAGUGAGGAAUUUUCCGCAAUGGGCGAAAGCCUGACGGAGCAAUACCGCGUGAGGGAUGAAGGAUUUUGGUCUGUAAACCUCUUUUCUCAAGAAAGAAGUUCUGACGGUACUUGAGGAAUAAGCAUCGGCUAACUCCGUGCCAGCAGCCGCGGUAAUACGGGGGAUGCAAGCGUUAUCCGGAAUGAUUGGGCGUAAAGCGCCUGUAGGUUGUUUAUUAAGUCCGUUGUUAAAGCCUAGGGCUUAACCCUAGAAAAGCAAUGGAAACUAGUAGACUAGAGUAUGGCGGGGGUAGAGGGAAUUUCUAGUGUAGCGGUGAAAUGCGUAGAUAUUAGAAAGAACACCGGUGGCGAAAGCGCUCUACUGGACCAUUACUGACACUCAGAGGCGAAAGCUAGGGUAGCAAAAGGGAUUAGAUACCCCUGUAGUCCUAGCCGUAAACGAUGGAUACUAGAUGUUGUGCAUUAUGUACAGUAUCGUAGCUAACGCGUUAAGUAUCCCGCCUGGGGAGUACGCUCGCAAGGUGAAACUCAAAGGAUUGACGG
This 557-nucleotide ribosomal RNA is filed under the name uncultured bacterium. Its description in RNAcentral is "bacterial SSU rRNA". It matches the Rfam family "Bacterial small subunit ribosomal RNA", at positions 338 to 916 of the family's 1533-position model. The record is from RNAcentral.